GUCGAGCGGCAAGGUCUUCGGACCCUAGAGCGGCGCACGGGUGAGUAACGCGUACGCAAUCUGCCCUUCAGUGAGGAAUAGCCCUGGGAAACUGGGAUUAAUACCUCAUAAUAUUAUUUGUUCGCAUGGAUGAAUAAUUAAAGUUCUGGCGCUGAAGGAUGAGCGUGCGUCUGAUUAGCUAGUUGGUAGGGUAACGGCCUAUCAAGGCUACGAUCAGUAGGGGGCGUGAGAGCGUGACCCCCCACACGGGUACUGAGACACGGACCCGACUCCUACGGGAGGCAGCAGUAAGGAAUAUUGGGCAAUGGAGGCAACUCUGACCCAGCCAUCCCGCGUGAAGGAUUAAGGCCCUAUGGGUUGUAAACUUCUUUUGUUUGGGAAGAAAUCUGGACAUUUAUGUGCAGUUGACGGUACCUUACGAAUAAGCACCGGCUAACUCCGUGCCAGCAGCCGCGGUAAUACGGAGGGUGCAAGCGUUAUCCGGAAUCACUGGGUUUAAAGGGUGCGUAGGCGGUUUGAUAAGUCAGAGGUGAAAGCUAGCAGCUUAACUGUUAAAUUGCCUUUGAUACUGUCAGACUUGAAUCAAGUUGAGGUAGGCGGAAUGUGACAUGUAGCGGUGAAAUGCAUAGAUAUGUCAUAGAACACCAAUUGCGUAGGCAGCUUGCUGGGCUUGAAUUGACGCUGAGGCACGAAAGCGUGG
Molecule: ribosomal RNA, 700 nt
Filed under: uncultured Haliscomenobacter sp.
Lineage: Bacteria; Pseudomonadati; Bacteroidota; Saprospiria; Saprospirales; Haliscomenobacteraceae
Description: bacterial SSU rRNA
Rfam family: Bacterial small subunit ribosomal RNA
Source: RNAcentral